RNAcentral lists this ribosomal RNA (253 nucleotides) under uncultured bacterium. Its description in RNAcentral is "partial 16S ribosomal RNA". It matches the Rfam family "Bacterial small subunit ribosomal RNA", at positions 524 to 776 of the family's 1533-position model. The record is from RNAcentral.
UACAGAGGGGGCAAGCGUUGUUCGGAAUUACUGGGCGUAAAGCGUGCGUAGGUGGUUCGUUAAGUCUGAUGUGAAAGCCCUGGGCUCAACCUGGGAAUGGCAUUGGAAACUGGCGACCUAGAGUGCGGUAGAGGGUAGUGGAAUUCCCGGUGUAGCAGUGAAAUGCGUAGAGAUCGGGAGGAACAUCCGUGGCGAAGGCGACUACCUGGACCAGCACUGACACUGAGGCACGAAAGCGUGGGGAGCAAACAGG